Molecule: RNA transcript, 1718 nt
Organism: Haliotis rubra (blacklip abalone)
Lineage: Eukaryota; Metazoa; Mollusca; Gastropoda; Lepetellida; Haliotidae
Gene name: lysine-specific demethylase 7B-like
Exons: 14
Source: RefSeq, a predicted model, not a curated record
UCCGAACGUGCAUUCAACAUGGCGUCCGAUACGGAGCCGAUAUAUUGUUUAUGUCGCCAACCUUACGAUGAAACGCUUUUCAUGAUCGAAUGUGACGUAUGCAAGGACUGGUUCCACGGAAGCUGUGUUGGGGUAUUGGAACAUCAAGCAUCGGACAUUGAAAUAUACCACUGUCCCAACUGUCAACUGUUGAAGGGACCUCUUGUGUUGAAGAGAAGGAAGAACUGGCACAGACAUGACUACUCUGAAGAGGAGACAGGAAAGGCAGUUCAGACAGGCACUGUUGUCUUCAUUAAGGAACUCAAGAACAGGAUGUUUCCAAGUGCCGAUGAGAUACCAAUCCUACGUCUCCAUGGCAGUCAGUUGACAAAGGAUUACCUGGAUAAGAAUGGCUUUGAUACACCUAUACUGAUUGAGAAGAAAGAUGGCUUGUCUUUGACGGUGCCACCAUCCAACUUCACAAUACAAGAUGUAGAAAACCAUGUUGGGUCUAUGCGUGAGAUCGAUGUGAUAGAUGUUGCCCGACAGGAGGACUACAAGAUGCUGAUGAGAGAGUGGACAGAGUACUACAACAGUCCCAACAGGCAGAAGAUCUUCAAUGUCAUCAGUCUGGAGUUCUCAAAUACAAAAUUGUCUGAGUUUGUUGUCCCCCCAGCCAUAGUGCGUGAACUAAGCUGGGUGCAGAAUGUGUGGCCCGACCAGCUGCCUGAUGACAGCCCCUACAACCGUCCAGAAGUACAGAAAUACUGUCUCAUGGGAGUGAGGGACAGCUUCACAGACUUUCACAUAGACUUUGGUGGAACCUCAGUGUGGUACCAUGUUCUCAGGGGAGAGAAAGUGUUCUACUUGAUCCGACCGACCAGUGCCAACGUGUCACUGUAUGAGAACUGGCUGUCGUCCAGCAACCAGAGUGAGACCUUCUUCGGUGACCAGGUGGACAGUUGCUACAAGUGUGUCAUCAAGACGGGACAGACUUUCUUUGUUCCCACAGGCUGGAUUCAUGCAGUCUUUACCCCCAUCGACUCCCUGGUGUUUGGGGGCAACUUCUUACACAGCUACAAUGCUCCUCUACAGCUGCAAGUUUAUGAGAUUGAGCGGCGGGUUAAAACACCAGAAAAAUACCUAUUCCCUUUUUAUGAAACAAUUUGCUGGUAUGCAGCUAAACACUUCUUAGAUAUACUGAAAGAAUGUGUUGAAGAUCAGAAAGUCCCGAGGAAAUACAUCUUGGAUGGAGCCAAGGCCCUUGCACAGCAUCUCAAGUCCUGGACACAGAGGAAAGAUUUGAACAACACCUUCCUCUUUGUAGAGACAAUGCAAGCAUUGAGGCACCCAAUACAUGUACAAUUAUGGAAAGAUUCACCGAGAGGAUAUUGCCAAAGAAUUGAAACAGUUUGAAAACCAGAAACCUAUCCCCUAAGAAGCCUGAACGCUAGCUGUGAGGAAGAGCGACACGCUAACCCCCAAAACAGCAUGGUAAACAUCUGUCUGCCGCAUCAGCACACGAGGAGAAGCUGAGGGAGGUGCAAGCCCAGCACAGCAAGAAUAUCUACAACUUUGAUGAAGAAGAUGAGCCAGCCCUGCCACACUGAAGGUGAGGAUCCCACAAGGCAGGGGCCUGCUUAGACAGCACAUUGAGGCAGCAGAAGGCAAGGAGACUGGGAUGGGAAGGAAGGCAAGAGGCAGCAAAAGCAAAGAAAGAUAAGGAGGAGAAGCCAAGG